GCGGCCAUAGUUCAAUGGUAGAAUACAAGACUGUGGAUCUUGGGAAGCGGGUUCGAUUCCCGCUGGCUGCC
RNAcentral lists this transfer RNA (71 nucleotides) under Candidatus Woesearchaeota archaeon. Its description in RNAcentral is "tRNA-His". It matches the Rfam family "tRNA". Rfam says of the family: Transfer RNA (tRNA) molecules are approximately 80 nucleotides in length. Their secondary structure includes four short double-helical elements and three loops (D, anti-codon, and T loops). Lineage: Archaea; Nanobdellati; Candidatus Woesearchaeota. The record is from RNAcentral.